Molecule: long non-coding RNA, 858 nt
Organism: Quercus robur (English oak)
Lineage: Eukaryota; Viridiplantae; Streptophyta; Magnoliopsida; Fagales; Fagaceae
Exons: 2
Source: RefSeq, a predicted model, not a curated record
UUCUAGGGAAAUUCUUAGCUAGUCUGGGACUGCAAGGUCAGCUUGCUAACCUUGUAGUCCCAACCAGUAAGCUGAUGCCACGGUAGAAAAAAAAAAAAAGAUUACAUCAUCCUAACUGCCACAUCAGCACAAUAACCAUUGAUAAUCCUAACUUCUGUUAACUUAUAAAAUGGUGAAAGCAAAUUCAAAAAAAUUCAAAAUUUUGGGGAUGUGAAUGGCAAGUCAGAUUUGGGUUUAAAUGUUUAAUAUGCUGCAAAUUUCAGAAUCCUCUCUUUCAUUUUCUCCAUUUUCUCUUCUCUUCAGCUCUCUCUCUCUCUCUCUCUCUCUCUCUCUCUGCUUUACCUCCACCAAAUUUGAAAAUCUCUAUUUCUUCUAACACACCUUUUUGUGGGGCAAACAUGGCCAAAUCUCCAUGGUAGCAGCAACCACCGAGUCCCACACCACCACCAACAACGAUGCUUGCUUGCCUAUUUGACCUUCUCCCAUCUUAAGGCAAUUAGCAUUGAUGCCAAAAUUAGAGCAUUUGAAGUUGCACCAUGAAUGAAGGUUGAGGGCUUGAGGAUAAGUUGAAGCAUCAGUGGGAGAACAUUUAUAUUUAUUUAUCUAAGCUAAGAUGAUGAAUUAAUGUGAAUGUAAAUGUGAGGAUAGGGAGAUUUUUUCCCCUCCUUAAGUUGAACUCUCUUGUAGUCUUUGACAAAGAAUGUAUUUUUUCUUCACUCUUUGUUUAUAUCUGUAUAGUAGUGAAUUUUUUUCUUUAGUUGUGAGCCUUUUUUAUGUGAUAUUUAUGUGAUAGUAGAGGGAAAAGAGAUGUUGGUUGUAAAUGACUAAUAGAAAAGAGAUGCAAAAAUAUUGAACCUA